GCACCACAAGGCGUGAAGCGUGCGGUUUAAUUGGAGUCAACACCGGAAACCUUACCGGGGGCGACAGCAGGUUGAAGGCCAGAUUGACGAUCUUGCCAGACAAGCUGAGAGGAGGUGCAUGGCCGUCGCCAGUUCGUGCCGUGAGGUGUCCUGUUAAGUCAGCCACCCCAUCGAGACCCACGUUCCCUGUUGCUAACAAAGAAAGUUUCCAAGGGGCACACUGGGAGGACAGCCGCCGAUAAGGCGGAGGAAGGAGUGGGCCACGGCAGGUCAGUAUGCCCCGAAUCCCCCGGGCCACACGCGUGCUGCAAUGGCCGGUACAAUGGGUUCCGACCUCGUGAGAGGAGGGUAAUCCCUAAAGCCGAUCGUAGUUUGGAUCGAGGGCUGCAACCCGCCCUCGUGAAACUGGAAUGCCUAGUAAUCGCGUGUCAUUAACGCGCGGUGAAUACGUCCCUGCUCCUUGCACACACCGCCCGUCGUUCCACUCGAGUGGGUUUUGGGUGAGGCGCGGUCCUUGGUGGCUGUGUCGAGCCUGAGGUUCGCGAGAGGGGAA
Molecule: ribosomal RNA, 553 nt
Filed under: uncultured archaeon
Lineage: Archaea
Description: bacterial SSU rRNA
Rfam family: Archaeal small subunit ribosomal RNA
Source: RNAcentral